AGAGUUUGAUCCUGGCUCAGGACGAACGCUGCGGCGUGCCUAAUACAUGCAAGUGGAGCGACGAACCAGGCUUCGGCCUGGGGCAAAGCCGCGAACGGGUGAGUAACACGUGGGUAACCUGCCCCGAUGAUUGGGACAACCCGAGGAAACUCGGGCUAAUACCGAAUGUGCCCUUCGGCCAUAAGGCUGCUGGGGAAAGGAAGCUUCGGCCUCCGCAUCGGGAUGGGCCCGCGGCCCAUUAGCUUGUUGGUGAGGUAACGGCUUACCAAGGCAACGAUGGGUAGCUGGUCUGAGAGGACGAUCAGCCACACUGGGACUGAGACACGGCCCAGACUCCUACGGGAGGCAGCAGUAGGGAAUCUUGCGCAAUGCGCGAAAGCGUGACGCAGCAACGCCGCGUGGGGGAAGAAGGCCUUCGGGUUGUAAGCCCCUUUCAGUUGGGACGAAGCUCCGCCGGUGAACAGCCGGUUGGGGUGACGGUACCUUCAGAAGAAGCCCCGGCUAACUACGUGCCAGCAGCCGCGGUAAUACGUAGGGGGCAAGCGUUGUCCGGAAUCAUUGGGCGUAAAGAGCGUGUAGGCGGCUCGGUAAGUCCGCUCUGAAAGUCCGGGGCUCAACCCCGGGAGGCGGGCGGAUACUGUCGGGCUAGAGUCCGGAAGAGGCGAGUGGAAUUCCCGGUGUAGCGGUGAAAUGCGCAGAUAUCGGGAGGAACACCAAUGGCGAAGGCAGCUCGCUGGGACGGUACUGACGCUGAGACGCGAAAGCGUGGGGAGCAAACAGGAUUAGAUACCCUAGUAGUCC
RNAcentral lists this ribosomal RNA (801 nucleotides) under uncultured bacterium. Its description in RNAcentral is "bacterial SSU rRNA". It matches the Rfam family "Bacterial small subunit ribosomal RNA", at positions 8 to 796 of the family's 1533-position model. The record is from RNAcentral.